ANGAGAGCCAAACUGUCUCUUGUAGUUAAUCAAUUAAACUGAUCUUUCAGUACAAAAGCUGAAAUAAGUAUAUAAGACCAGAAGACCCUGUGAAGCUUAAACUAACCUAUUAAAUCAACUAAUAGCUACUUUCGGUUGGGGCGACCUUGGAACAAAAUAAAACUUCCAGAUAAAAUGAGCCAUACCUCAUAACACAGGCCCACAAGCCACUUAACGACCCAGUAUGACUGAUAAAUGAACCAAGUUACUCCAGGGAUAACAGCGCCAUCUUCUUCAAGAGCCCAUAUCAAAAAGAAGGUUUACGACCUCGAUGUUGGAUCAGGACACCCCGAUGGUGUAGCCGCUAUCAAAGGUUCGUUUGUUCAACGAUUAACAGU
Molecule: ribosomal RNA, 377 nt
Filed under: Calabaria reinhardtii
Lineage: Eukaryota; Metazoa; Chordata; Lepidosauria; Squamata; Calabariidae
Description: partial 16S ribosomal RNA
Rfam family: Bacterial large subunit ribosomal RNA
Source: RNAcentral